This 330-nucleotide ribosomal RNA is filed under the name uncultured Bacillota bacterium. RNAcentral's name for it is "bacterial SSU rRNA". It matches the Rfam family "Bacterial small subunit ribosomal RNA", at positions 588 to 916 of the family's 1533-position model. Lineage: Bacteria; Bacillati; Bacillota. The record is from RNAcentral.
UCUGAAGUGAAAGCCCGGUGCUUAACGCCGGGACUGCUUUGGAAACUGUUUAGCUGGAGUGCCGGAGAGGUAAGCGGAAUUCCUAGUGUAGCGGUGAAAUGCGUAGAUAUUAGGAAGAACACCAGUGGCGAAGGCGGCUUACUGGACGGUAACUGACGUUGAGGCUCGAAAGCGUGGGGAGCAAACAGGAUUAGAUACCCUGGUAGUCCACGCCGUAAACGAUGAUUGCUAGGUGUAGGUGGGUAUGGACCCAUCGGUGCCGCAGCUAACGCAAUAAGCAAUCCACCUGGGGAGUACGUUCGCAAGAAUGCAACUCAAAUGAAUUGACGG